Molecule: ribosomal RNA, 489 nt
Filed under: uncultured bacterium
Lineage: Bacteria
Description: bacterial SSU rRNA
Rfam family: Bacterial small subunit ribosomal RNA
Source: RNAcentral
GACGAACGCUGGCGGCGUGCUUAACGCAUGCAAGUCGAACGAGGUCCAUGCAGUGGCAACACUGCGGAAGACCGAGUGGCGAACGGGUGAGUAACACGUGAGGAACCCACCCCGGAGACCGGGAUAAGCCCCCGAAAGGGGGUCUAAUACCGGAUGCCCUCACCGGAUCGCAUGGUCCGAUGAGGAAAUGGAUUCCGCUCCGGGACGGCCUCGCGGCCUAUCAGCUUGUUGGUGGGGUAACGGCCCACCAAGGCAUAGACGGGUAGCUGGUCUGAGAGGACGGUCAGCCACACUGGGACUGAGACACGGCCCAGACUCCUACGGGAGGCAGCAGCGGGGAAUAUUGCGCAAUGGGCGAAAGCCUGACGCAGCAACGCCGCGUGAGGGAUGAAGGCUCUCGGGUUGUAAACCUCUUUCAGCAGGGACGAAAACAGACGGUACCUGCAGAAGAAGCCCCGGCCAACUACGUGCCAGCCGCCGCCGUAACAC